AGCUGGUGCUUCCAGCCGUCCAACCUCAGCUUUAGAGAUCAAGCUCAGCCGUCUCUGUUUACCUCUUAGUCCGAACGAACUCUUGCCAUAACAACUCUUGCAGGUACCUUGGACUUUUCCUUGUGCGCCACUUUGAUGCGAGCAAGGGCAAGGUGCAAUGAUGACAGGCAGGACCAUCAUAUCAGAGCAAUAGAAACAUCUUCUUAAGAUCAGUUCAGCUCAGCUCUGAACUGGUGCCUGACAAUCCCAAAUCAAAGUCGCUGUCUUGAACGCAAGUCCAGAAGAAAUUGAGAGCAGCCAACAAUGGAUGCCUAUGAAAUGUGCAUGAGAACAGGACAAGCCACAUACUGAUGCUCCCUCCAAGGAUUUUUCCAGAUUGCAGCUACUUGCAUUGCACCAAAUUCUUGUGGGCAUCCAGUGGAAGAUUGCAGUUUGGGGCGAAGGAAACAAAACCACCAUUCAUCUGUGCAGUGAGAUAUCUCGUGACAAAUAUCUUACUCUAACUGGAUUCUGAACUGAAAUAGGUAUCACUGGCAUUCCUGACCACAGCAAGCCUGAGAAAAUAGCCAUCAAUAGCCUUGGCCUUGUGCAGCUGACCCUGUUUGAGCUGUGAUUACUUCUCCAGAAUUCACCCACAUUGUAUUGGCAACCAGCAUGAAGUAUGAGCCCAGUCUGUCCUGAAGACUAAUAACUUAGCCACGAAAAUUGGCUUCACGUGCCGUGUUAAUCGAGUCUCUCAUGAAGUUAAGAACGAGCAGUUAUUUCCACAGGGAGUCAGAAAACUAAUACAGCCCUGGAAUGCACACCAGGAUUGCCUUUGCACUUAGUUGCCUACCUACGUGCUAGACACAAGAUGGUAACAGUACCAAAAUUUUUGUUUUGACUUGACUUCUUCAUCCAUGGGGAAUAAUGAUGCUGCAUCGGUGAUGAAAGGCACUGCAGUCCUUUCAUGAGAUGACAAUGGGCUGGAAAGCACCGUGGUGCUCCACCUUUACUUUGAGCCACGCUGUGUCUCCACAUAUCCUACCUCAUUAGCGUCCAAACUCUGCCACUGGAGGAGGCGUCGUUGUGGGAUUAAAACCCAGUGGGCAGGGUUUGUACCAACAGCCUUCUCAAGAGAUGGUAAAAGCCACAAUAAGUAAGUCAGGGAACAUGCAUGAUAAUAUUCAGAAUUUAUUUCCGUAUUUAUUAGGAGUGUUCUGUUUACUGAAGUCCAGCCGCUGUUCAUUCCUCCCUCAACAGCCCUAUCUCUUCUCGCUGCCUUCUGACCCCUCUGCAUUUGGUUGUUUAGACUCCUACAGAUGGCGAGAGAAGAAAUGGAGAGUGCUUGCAGGAUCUGCUGGGUGAAUGGUGAAUCCCAAGGAAACUGUUUAUUCAGAAAUAUUUCAGGCUGUUUUCAGGAGCUAAGAGAAUACUGAUUUCUGAUUGUGCUUACCUCUUAAAGGGGAUCACACAAAUCUGUGUGGUAACUUUUCAUUUGAAUGGCUCCUGAAAGAAAUCUGUUUGGGGAAUUGCCUUUCCAUACUUGUGUAAAAAUCCUUUUGUGCCAUUAAGAUGCUUUGCAAAGAGAAGCAAGAUCUAGAGGCUUGUUGAGGCACAGUUUUUGCUACCCAGUAGACUUAGUCUCAUUAAAAUGGACCUCAUCUCCUCACUGCUCCUGCACACACUGUCAGUUUAUCACAGAUCAUCUGACAUCUCCAAAAUGGAAAGCAUGACGUAAAGCUGGAAAAAGAGCUUGAGAAGGAAAAAAGUCAAAAUAAAAAUUGCAGAGACUUUGGGGUAACAAGGAGCAGGAAAAGAUGUCUGUAUCCAAACUUGUCAAGUCUUCAGGGUACCUAUAUGCCACCCAGAGGGAAAAAUAAGUGUUCACGCCUGUGUACCACUCUCUGCCCCUGGCCAGCUCUGCAAGGAGAAGUGCAUACUCCUGGAGCCGUGCAGGAAUAACCUUCUUAGGAAAACCCUGCCAAAACCCCCCUUGCAGGAAUACCUGUCUUCCCCCCACCUCAGCUCAGAGCAUGGCCACAGCCAUGAGAGGCUGCAGCUGGCAGAGGCCACCUGCCCACUGUCCUGCCCAGACCCCUUGCCCACAGAGAGAAGGCCAGCUCAGCUCUUUCAGGCGGUUCUCAAGGGAUGCAGUCCUGAGCGUUGGUUUACCCUUGAGUUUUGGGCUGGGAAACAGCAGAAGCGCUUGGGUGAAGAAGACAAAAUAGUCCCCCUGAGACCUCCUCUGCGCCAAUGAGAAGUGCAAAUCCUGCGCUCUGCCUGACAAAAGACCACAACCAGAAACCUGCCAGGAGACAGAGGGGACACUGAGAAAGCCCUGGAUGCAGAGUGCUCUGGCUGUAGGAGAGAGAGGGGUGGGGCGGAGGCAAAGCUCCUUGCUACCAGGGAAAUGUCCCUCACACUGGCUGGGAGAUGACAGCUGCUAGCAAAGAGCAGCUGCUGACUUCUCUCCCAAAGCUGCAUUGCCUCAACUGGAUUUCCACAGCACUCAAGUGGGCUUGGCAAAGGGAGACUUUGGUGGAUGGGCAAGGACGGACACAUGCUGCAGCUCCUGGAGCUGGGAGCUCCCAGCUUCCAAGGUGGCCUC
This is a long non-coding RNA of Hirundo rustica (Barn swallow), 2590 nucleotides long. RefSeq lists it as uncharacterized. The transcript is spliced from 5 exons. Lineage: Eukaryota; Metazoa; Chordata; Aves; Passeriformes; Hirundinidae. The record is from RefSeq and is a predicted model, not a curated record.